GAUGAACGCUAGCGGAAGGCUUAAUACAUGCAAGUCGAGCGGUAGGUGGCUUCGGCCAUUGAGAGCGGCGCACGGGUGAGUAACGCGUACAUGACCUGCCUGUCAGAAGGGGAUAGCCCUGGGAAACUGGGAUUAAUACCCUAUGGUAUUGAUAUUAUGAAUGAUAUCAAUUAAAGUUGAGGCGCUGACAGAUGGAUGUGCGUCUGAUUAGCUAGUUGGUAGGGUAACGGCCUACCAAGGCGACGAUCAGUAGGGGGCGUGAGAGCGUGGUCCCCCACACGGGUACUGAGACACGGACCCGACUCCUACGGGAGGCAGCAGUAAGGAAUAUUAGUCAAUGCCCGCAAGGGUGAACCAGCCAUUCCGCGUGGAGGAUGAAGGCCCUAUGGGUUGUAAACUUCUUUUAGAUGGGAAGAAAAUGCUAGAUGUAUCUGGUACUGACGGUACCAUCAGAAUAAGCAACCGGCUAAACUCCGUGCCAGCAGCCGCGGUAAU
RNAcentral lists this ribosomal RNA (495 nucleotides) under uncultured bacterium. RNAcentral describes it as "bacterial SSU rRNA". It matches the Rfam family "Bacterial small subunit ribosomal RNA", at positions 28 to 524 of the family's 1533-position model. The record is from RNAcentral.